This 218-nucleotide ribosomal RNA is filed under the name Klebsiella pneumoniae. Its description in RNAcentral is "partial 16S ribosomal RNA". It matches the Rfam family "Eukaryotic small subunit ribosomal RNA", at positions 1574 to 1789 of the family's 1831-position model. The record is from RNAcentral. Lineage: Bacteria; Pseudomonadati; Pseudomonadota; Gammaproteobacteria; Enterobacterales; Enterobacteriaceae.
GGAUAGAGCAUUGCAAUUAUUGCUCUUCAACGAGGAAUGCCUAGUAGGCACGAGUCAUCAGCUCGUGCCGAUUACGUCCCUGCCCUUUGUACACACCGCCCGUCGCUACUACCGAUUGAAUGGCUUGGUGAGGCCUUCGGACUGGCUCCAGGGGGUUGGCAACGACCCCCCAGAGCCGGAAAGUUGGUCAAACCUGGUCAUUUAGAGGAAGUAAAAGU